CUGUGCACAAAUUGUAGACCUUUCAGUAGGCCUAUGUUGUUUUUCACAAUCUCUGAAUGUAAUAGAAUGGUUUUGAAUCUUGGGAAAUACAAUACAACUUUCAGCAACGGAUCUCUUGGCUCUCGCAUCGAUGAAGAACGCAGCGAAAUGCGAUAAGUAAUGUGAAUUGCAGAAUUCAGUGAAUCAUUGAAUCUUUGAACGCAUCUUGCGCUCCUUGGUAUUCCGAGGAGCAUGCCUGUUUGAGUGUCAUUUAAAACUUCUCAACCACUUGGAGUCUCUCUGGGUGGCUUGGAAAUGGGGGAUGUGCAGGCCAGCUAAUGGUCUGCUCCCCUGAAAUGAAUUAGUGGCAUCUGAGCAGAGACUACCACAGGUGUGAUAACUAUUGAUCAAUGCCUUGGUAUAUAC
RNAcentral lists this ribosomal RNA (405 nucleotides) under uncultured Inocybe. RNAcentral describes it as "eukaryotic LSU rRNA". The stretch from base 96 to 249 matches the Rfam family "5.8S ribosomal RNA". The record is from RNAcentral. Lineage: Eukaryota; Fungi; Basidiomycota; Agaricomycetes; Agaricales; Cortinariaceae.